AAAAAAAUCACUCAUAUUUUAUGCUUUGAGAAAUGCAUGAUGACAUACAGUACAUACAGUCUUGUCAUAUAGCUUGCUUUAUAUCAGUCUCAGAAGACACUUAAAAGGAGCUUUCCUUCUCUGACAAGAAGCAGCUGGCUUUGGGAAUAAUGAAUUUACAACAUAUCAUCUUCUCAUUUCAGUUUGGUAUAUUACUUCUCACAUUAAAAUACCCAAUAUCAAUGUAAAUUGACCUCUUUCUCUAGGAAAAAAAAAAAAAAAGGAAAUCAAAAAAAUGAACAAGCCUUUCAUUCUUUUGGCUUGCAAGUGAGAUUUGUAAGUCUUCAUUUUCUGCAGGCACCCUGCCUUCACCAAGUGUAUGGAUUGGGACUACUGAAAAAUGCCCUCCCACUGCAGUAGUAUUUUCUGGAGUGCUCCAUGCCAGUUUCUGUUUGCUUACUUCACUACUGAGAGCAGUAAAUCAGUGCAACUGCAAGAAAAUGCCAGGCGGGAGCUAACUGCGUGAGCCCUGCAAGCAGUGUGAAAUACUUGGCAGGUCUGAAGUCUAAAUUCAGUGAUGCUGCAAACCCGAUUGCCACAGUCACAUCCUGCACAAUCACUCAGAUCUCUCAGAUGGAAAAGAUAGAAGGCUAUACCCACACUGUGCUUCCCGGAGCAACAGAUAGCAAGAAAACAAGUCAGAUAUUUUCAAAUUCUCUACUGAAGAAGGACAGAAUAUUGUAAUAACAUUAAAGCAAAAAUACCGACUGUUAUAAUAAAUGAUCUAAAAACAGAAAAGAAGCCUUUAUU
Molecule: long non-coding RNA, 789 nt
Filed under: Anser brachyrhynchus (Pink-footed goose)
Lineage: Eukaryota; Metazoa; Chordata; Aves; Anseriformes; Anatidae
Description: lncRNA (ENSABRG00000003630.1)
Source: RNAcentral